GAUGAACGCUGGCGGCGUGCUUAACACAUGCAAGUCGAACGGUGAAGGCGGAGCUUGCUCUGCUGUAUCAGUCGCGAACGGGUGAGUAACACGUGAGCAAUCUUCCCCUUACUCUGUGAUAAGCGCUGGAAACGGCGUCUAAUACUGGAUACGAGCUGCGAAGGCAUCUUCAGCAGCUGGAAAGAACCUCGGUCAGGGCUGAGCUCGCGGCCUAUCAGCUUGUUGGUGAGGUAACGGCUCACCAAGGCGUCGACGGGUAGCCGGCCUGAGAGGGUGACCGGGCACACUGGGACUGAGACACGGCCCAGACUCCUACGGGAGGCAGCAGUGGGGAAUAUUGCACAAUGGGCGAAAGCCUGAUGCAGAAACGCCGCGUGAGGGACGAAGGCCUUCGGGUUGUAAACCUCUUUUAGCAGGGAAGAAGCGAAAGUGACGGUACCUGCAGAAAAAGCGCCGGCUAACUACGUG
RNAcentral lists this ribosomal RNA (468 nucleotides) under uncultured bacterium. Its description in RNAcentral is "partial 16S ribosomal RNA". It matches the Rfam family "Bacterial small subunit ribosomal RNA", at positions 28 to 507 of the family's 1533-position model. The record is from RNAcentral.